GAUGAGAACGUAGCGAAAUGCGAUACGUAAUGUGAAUUGCAGAAUUCAGUGAAUCAUCGAAUCUUUGAACGCAUAUUGCGCUCUCUGGUAUUCCGGAGAGCAUGCUUGUUUGAGUAUCAGUAAACACCUCAACUUCCAUAUCUUUUUUGAAAUGGGAGUUGGACUUGAGUGAUCCCAACGCUUUUCCUCACCGAAAAGUGGCGGGUUACUUGAAAUGCAGGUGCAGCUGGACUUUUCUCUGAGCUAUAAGCAUAUCUAUUUAGUCUGCCUAAAAAACAGAUUAUUACCUUUGCUGCAGCUAACAUAAAGGAGAUUAGUUCUUGUGCUGACUGAUGCAGGAUUCACAAAGACGGCUUCGGCCGACUUUGUAAACUCGAUCUCAAAUCAAGUAAGACUACCCGCUGAACUUAAGCAUAUCAAUAAGCGGAGGA
RNAcentral lists this unclassified non-coding RNA (431 nucleotides) under soil metagenome. RNAcentral describes it as "partial contains 5.8S ribosomal RNA, internal transcribed spacer 2, and large subunit ribosomal RNA". The stretch from base 5 to 119 matches the Rfam family "5.8S ribosomal RNA", at positions 40 to 154 of the family's 154-position model. The record is from RNAcentral.